UACGAAGGGGGCUAGCGUUGCUCGGAAUUACUGGGCGUAAAGCGCGUGUAGGUGGAUUGGUGUGUCAGAUGUGAAAUCCCUGGGCUCAACCCAGGAACUGCACCUGAAACUACCAGUCUUGAGUGGUGGAGAGGGAAGUGGAAUUCCUGGUGUAGAGGUGAAAUUCGUAGAUAUCAGGAGGAACACCAGUGGCGAAGGCGGCUUCCUGGACACCAACUGACGCUGAGACGCGAAAGCGUGGGGAGCAAACAGG
This 253-nucleotide ribosomal RNA is filed under the name uncultured bacterium. RNAcentral's name for it is "partial 16S ribosomal RNA". It matches the Rfam family "Bacterial small subunit ribosomal RNA", at positions 524 to 776 of the family's 1533-position model. The record is from RNAcentral.